AUACAGAGGGUGCGAGCGUUAAUCGGAAUUACUGGGCGUAAAGCGCGCGUAGGCGGUCUAUUAAGUCAGAUGUGAAAUCCCAGGGCUCAACCUUGGAACUGCGUCUGAUACUGGUAGACUAGAGUUUUGGAGAGGGAAGUAGAAUUUCAGGUGUAGCGGUGAAAUGCAUAGAGAUCUGAAGGAAUACCAGUGGCGAAGGCGACUUCCUGGCCAAAAACUGACGCUGAGGUGCGAAAGCGUGGGUAGCAAACGGGAUUAGAAACCCUAGUAGUCC
Molecule: ribosomal RNA, 274 nt
Filed under: uncultured bacterium
Lineage: Bacteria
Description: partial 16S ribosomal RNA
Rfam family: Bacterial small subunit ribosomal RNA
Source: RNAcentral